AACCAACAGGGAUUGCCUCAGUAACGGCGAGCGAAGCGGCAAGCGCUCAGAUUUGAAAUCUGGCUCCUCCGGGGCCCGAGUUGUAAUCUGUAGGGGAUGCUUCGGAGUCGAGCCCGGCCUAAGUUCCUUGGAACAGGACGUCGCAGAGGGUGAGAAUCCCGUACGCGGCCGGUGGGCGCCUCCGUGCGAAGCUCCUCCGACGAGUCGAGUUGUUUGGGAAUGCAGCUCUAAAUGGGAGGUAAAUUUCUUCUAAAGCUAAAUACCGGCCAGAGACCGAUAGCGCACAAGUAGAGUGAUCGAAAGAUGAAAAGCACUUUGGAAAGAGAGUUAAAAAGUACGUGAAAUUGUUGAAAGGGAAGCGCUUGCGACCAGACUCGGCCGCUUCGGUUCAACCCUACCUGCGUAGGGCUCACUCCGUUGCGGUCGGGCCAGCAUCGGUUCGGGCGGCCGUUCAAAGGCGUCGGGAAUGUGGCUCCCCUCGGGGAGUGUUAUAGCCCCUCGCGCAAUGCGGCCCGCCUGGACCGAGGACCGCGCUCCGGCAAGGAUGCUGGCGUAAUGGUUGCAAGCGGCCCGUCUUGAAACACGGACCAAGGAGUCUAACAUCUAUGCGAGUGUUCGGGUGUCAAACCCCUGCGCGCAAUGAAAGUGAACGGAGGUCGGAGCCCUCGGGCGCACGAUCGACCGAUCCUGAUGUCUUCGGAUGGAUUUGAGUAAGAGCAUAAAUGUUGGGACCCGAAAGAUGUGCGAACUAUGCUUGAGUAGGCCGAAGCCAGCGGAAACGCUGGUGGAGGGUCGCAGCGGUUCUGACGUGCAAAUCGAUCGUCAAACUUGAGUAUAGGGGCGAAAGACUAAUCGAGCCAUCUA
This 864-nucleotide ribosomal RNA is filed under the name Ascagilis thailandensis. RNAcentral describes it as "partial large subunit ribosomal RNA". It matches the Rfam family "Eukaryotic large subunit ribosomal RNA", at positions 63 to 946 of the family's 3401-position model. Lineage: Eukaryota; Fungi; Ascomycota; Dothideomycetes; Jahnulales; Aliquandostipitaceae. The record is from RNAcentral.